GUUUGAUCCUGGCUCAGGACAAACGCUGGCGGCGUGUAUUAGGCAUGCAAGUCGCACGGACCUUCGGUCAGUGGCGGACGGGUGAGUAACACGUGGGUAACCUGCCUCGCAGUGGGGAAUAACCCGUCGAAAGACGGGCUAAUACCGCAUACUACUCCCGGUGAGAUUCCGGGCAGUAAAAGCAGUAAUGCGCUGUGAGAGGGGCCCGCGGCCGAUUAGCUAGUUGGUGGGGUAAUGGCUCACCAAGGCGACGAUCGGUAGCUGGUCUGAGAGGAUGGUCAGCCACACGGGGACUGAGAUACGGCCCCGACUCCUACGGGAGGCAGCAGCUAAGAAUCUUGCGCAAUGGGCAACCCUGAUCCAGCCAUGCCGCGUGAGUGAAGAAGGCCUGGUUGUAAGCUCUUCAGCCGGGAAGAAGACGCACUCUCU
Molecule: ribosomal RNA, 429 nt
Filed under: uncultured bacterium
Lineage: Bacteria
Description: bacterial SSU rRNA
Rfam family: Bacterial small subunit ribosomal RNA
Source: RNAcentral